GACGAACGCUGGCGGCGUGCUUAACACAUGCAAGUCGAACGGUAAGGCCCUUCGGGGUACACGAGUGGCGAACGGGUGAGUAACACGUGGGUGAUCUGCCCUGCACUUCGGGAUAAGCCUGGGAAACUGGGUCUAAUACCGGAUAGGACCACUGCCUGCAUGGGUGGUGGUGGACAGCCUUUGCGGUGUGGGAUGGGCCCGCUGCCUAUCAGCUUGUUGGUGGGGUGAUGGCCUACCAAGGCGACGACGGGUAGCCGGCCUGAGAGGGUGACCGGCCACACUGGGACUGAGAUACGGCCCAGACUCCUACGGGAGGCAGCAGUGGGGAAUAUUGCACAAUGGGCGCAAGCCUGAUGCAGCGACGCCGCGUGAGGGAUGACGGCCUUCGGGUUGUAAACCUCUUUCAGCACCGACGAAGCGCAAGUGACGGUAGGUGCAGAAGAAGGACCGGCCAACUACGUGCCAGCCGCCGCAGUAA
RNAcentral lists this ribosomal RNA (478 nucleotides) under uncultured bacterium. RNAcentral describes it as "partial 16S ribosomal RNA". It matches the Rfam family "Bacterial small subunit ribosomal RNA", at positions 28 to 523 of the family's 1533-position model. The record is from RNAcentral.